GCCUUUGGUCUGGCUCUCCCCAUCGCUGGGUUCAGUGCCUGACUGAAUGGAAAACCCGUCGUCUUGCAGCCACUAACCUGUGAGCGCCGGGUACCUGGAGACCAGGCCCCUCUGCUGGGGGCCCCCAGGAGCGGUGCCCCAUCAUUUUGCAGCCCACUGACUCCCAGCCUGGUGUGAAAACUGAGGCCCGGAGAGGUGAUGUGAUUUGCCUAAAGUCAUGCAACUAGUGGCAGAGCCAGGCCUAG
This 245-nucleotide long non-coding RNA is filed under the name Homo sapiens (human). Its description in RNAcentral is "non-protein coding lnc-RBBP6-4:5". The record is from RNAcentral. Lineage: Eukaryota; Metazoa; Chordata; Mammalia; Primates; Hominidae.